RNAcentral lists this ribosomal RNA (256 nucleotides) under uncultured bacterium. RNAcentral describes it as "partial 16S ribosomal RNA". It matches the Rfam family "Bacterial small subunit ribosomal RNA", at positions 524 to 777 of the family's 1533-position model. The record is from RNAcentral.
UACGUAGGGGGGCAAGCGUUUGUCCGGAGUUACUGGGCGUAAAGCGCACGCAGGCGGUCUUUUAAGUUUGGAGUGACAGUUGGUGGCUUAACUGCCAAAGUGCUUCGAAAAACUGAAAGACUUGAGGGCUUCAGAGGGACACGGAAUCCGGGUGGAGUGGUGAAAUGCGUAGAGAUCCGGAGGAACACCAAAGGCGAAGGCAGUGUCCUGGGGAGUACCUGACGCUCAGGUGCGAAAGCCAGGGGAGCGAACGGGG